UGUCUGGGAAACUGCCCGAUGGAGGGGGAUAACUACUGGAAACGGUAGCUAAUACCGCAUAACGUCUUCGGACCAAAGUGGGGGACCUUCGGGCCUCACACCAUCGGAUGUGCCCAGAUGGGAUUAGCUAGUAGGUGAGGUAAUGGCUCACCUAGGCGACGAUCCCUAGCUGGUCUGAGAGGAUGACCAGCCACACUGGAACUGAGACACGGUCCAGACUCCUACGGGAGGCAGCAGUGGGGAAUAUUGCACAAUGGGCGCAAGCCUGAUGCAGCCAUGCCGCGUGUGUGAAGAAGGCCUUCGGGUUGUAAAGCACUUUCAGCGAGGAGGAAGGGUUCGGUGUUAAUAGCACUGUUCAUUGACGUUACUCGCAGAAGAAGCACCGGCUAACUCCGUGCCAGCAGCCGCGGUAAUACGGAGGGUGCAAGCGUUAAUCGGAAUUACUGGGCGUAAAGCGCACGCAGGCGGUUUGUUAAGUCAGAUGUGAAAUCCCCGAGCUUAACUUGGGAACUGCAUUUGAAACUGGCAAGCUAGAGUCUUGUAGAGGGGGGUAGAAUUCCAGGUGUAGCGGUGAAAUGCGUUAGAGAUCUGGAGGAAUACCGGUGGCGAAAGGCGGCCCCCUGGACAAAGACUGACGCUCAGGUGCGAAAAGCGUGGGGGAGCAAACAGGAUUAGAUACCCUGGUAGUCCACGCU
RNAcentral lists this ribosomal RNA (695 nucleotides) under bacterium. RNAcentral's name for it is "bacterial SSU rRNA". It matches the Rfam family "Bacterial small subunit ribosomal RNA", at positions 114 to 801 of the family's 1533-position model. The record is from RNAcentral.